This 497-nucleotide ribosomal RNA is filed under the name uncultured bacterium. Its description in RNAcentral is "partial 16S ribosomal RNA". It matches the Rfam family "Bacterial small subunit ribosomal RNA", at positions 28 to 507 of the family's 1533-position model. The record is from RNAcentral.
GAUGAACGCUGGCGGCGUGCCUAAUACAUGCAAGUCGAGCGAACGGACGAGAAGCUUGCUUCUCUGAUGUUAGCGGCGGACGGGUGAGUAACACGUGGAUAACCUACCUAUAAGACUGGGAUAACUUCGGGAAACCGGAGCUAAUACCGGAUGAUAUUUUGAACCGCAUGGUUCAAAAGUGAAAGACGGUCUUGCUGUCCCUUAUAGAUGGAUCCGCGCUGCAUUAGCUAGUUGGUAAGGUAACGGCUUACCAAGGCAACGAUGCAUAGCCGACCUGAGAGGGUGAUCGGCCACACUGGAACUGAGACACGGUCCAGACUCCUACGGGGGGCAGCAGUAGGGAAUCUUCCGCAAUGGGCGAAAGCCUGACGGAGCAACGCCGCGUGAGUGAUGAAGGUCUUCGGAUCGUAAAACUCUGUUAUUAGGGAAGAACAUAUGUGUAAGUAACUGUGCACAUCUUGACGGUACCUAAUCAGAAAGCCACGGCUAACUACGUG